CAGUCGACUAGAGUUUGAUCCUGCUCAGGAUGAACGCUGGCGGCGUGCCUAAAUAACAUGCAAAGUCGAGCGGUAAGGCCCUUCGGGGUACACGAGCGGCGGACGGCUGAGUAACACGUAGGAACGUACCCCAGACUGAGGGAUAACUGCCCGAAAGGGUAGCUAAUACCGCAUAACCUCUUAGGAGAAAAGCUCCGGCGGUUUGGGGAACGGCCUGCGUCCGAUUAGCUAGUUGGCGGGGUAAAUGCCCACCAAGGCGACGAUCGGUAGCUGGUCUGAGAGGAUGAUCAGCCAGACUGGGACUGAGAACGGCCCAGACUCCUACGGGAGGCAGCAGUAGGGAAUUUUCCACAAUGGACGAAAGUCUGAUGGAGCAACGCCGCGUGCAGGAUGAAUGCCUUCGGGUUGUAAACUGCUUUUAUGUGUGACGAUUAUGACGGUAGCACAUGAAUAAGGAUCGGCUAACUCCGUGCCAGCAGCCGCGGUAA
This 488-nucleotide ribosomal RNA is filed under the name uncultured bacterium. RNAcentral describes it as "bacterial SSU rRNA". It matches the Rfam family "Bacterial small subunit ribosomal RNA", at positions 1 to 523 of the family's 1533-position model. The record is from RNAcentral.